AGUGCUCAUAACGAGGUGCGGGUGUCACUAUUGGAAGCGGUUGUCGUUGUCGGUCCCUAAAAUUAUGUUACGUACGAGUGUUUUAUUUACUAUUUUGGCGGAGUACUGAGUUUUUUGUGUAUUUGCAUAACCAAUCCGAAAUAUUUGUGUUCGCUUUUUGCUUGAGUGCUUGCAAUUAUUGUGAUGCCAAGUACCGAAACAAGUGCUGAAUAUAAAUAUAAAGUUAUAUAAAAUAUAUGAAAUUAAAACCUUCUAUAUCACCAAAGUGGCGAAUAAAUGAACGAUUUGGAGGUUAGCAAAUAAUUAUUGGACAAACUUUGAUGAAAUUUGAGUAGACAAUUACGGUUGCUGGGAAUGUAAAACAACAACACCCGCAACAACAAAAAUAAAUCAAAGAAAAAAUCAUUGCACUAUGAAAUCAAACGAAUGGGCAAGAAAACAAACAAAUCACAAAAAGGACUGGAAUAACAUUAGUUUAUGUGAAAGCAGUCAUAACAACAACAACAACUAUUUCACACAAGCAGCGAAAAUAUAAGGCACAUCUGCUUUGAACUAUAAUUGAGGAACGCUUCAAGCGAUGUUCGCUAUUAUUUUUGAAAGAGUGAAGGAGUGGCCAAAAAUUGACAGCUGAACAAACAGAAACGAGUAGAAAUUAUUGCUGGUCUGUGACGAUUAAAAAAAUACACACACACACAACUGCUUUGGUUAAUGGAUGCCUAAACUCAAUUAAGUGCCACACUUUUCUAUCUUUUGCGAACAGCCAACUCACACAAGCAAAAUUAAUCAAAAGUGUUUUGCGGCAGGAAAUUAUUAAUAAUGCGCUCGAUGUGGCCGCAGAUUGAAACUUAUUAAUUUGUGUGCGCUUGCAACAGACAACAAAAGCAAAAAGGACAACAACAACAAUAAAACAAAAAGAACGGCAACAACUAUAGAAAGAUCAAACUUUAAAGCUACAACAAAAACCACCAACAAUUAUUAGUUGUACAAAAUCCAUAGUAGGGCAUCGGAUGCAGCGCAUCUGUCAGCAUGUGAAGGCUGCAUUAGUCGCUUACCACACAACCAUAAUCAGCUGCCUGCCACAACGCGACGCAAGACCACAUAAUUCAAAUAAAACACGCAUCCGCCGCACAAAAUUAUCAAUGCGCGGCAGCAAGUGAAGUGACGUAGUGAAAGUGAGUGCGUAUGAGUGCACACAUCUCACGCGUGCAUGAGCAAAUGAAAUUGCAAUAUUUGAAUUUCUGCAAAUUAAACGCAACAGCAUGUUGCAUGCAGCAUGAGUGUGAAGUUGAAGCAGAAAAUAGAUUAAAAGUGUUAAACGCGAAUAAAUGGAAAUGUCUUAACAUUUUCUGCAAAACGGAAAUUCGCUGCUACAUAAGAAAGUACUAAAGGAAUAGAGUUAAGAAGUUGAAGAAAAAUAAGAAAAAGUUUUUUUUUUCCACUACUGAGUGCCGUCAAAGGGCAAGUGUGUGUAUCCGUUGACUGAGCAAAGAAGUAAAAACGAGAAAAAAAUAAUAAAAGUAAUAAGAAGCCAAAUAAGUGCGAAUUUCCACACAACGUAUAAGCGAACAAAAAAAAAAAACAAAAAAAAAAAGUAAAAAUACCAAGCAAAAACUAUUUGUACGGCAACACGUACGCCGCGACGCAAGCAACUUGUGCUUGAUUUUCGAGGCUGUGUCUGUGUCUGGGCCGCCAGCCGAUCUGUCAUAAAAUAUCAAUUUGUGAUUUUUCAAUUUUGCCGCCGACAGAUAAACACAAACGUGCCGCAAGCGCUCAUCUUAUCUCACCGCUCCCCCUCCACCGCUCUCAUAACCGCUCGAUCAUUUAUUAGCCGCAUUAGACGUGCCGUACAUUCUAACUAAGUAAUAGUAGUAGUGCGUGCGUGUGUGUGCGUGCAUGUGUGUGAGUGCAAAAAGAAAACUAAUAAUUUGUGAGGUAAACGCGUGUGGCAAGCGUCAAAAUAAGCAAAUAACGUAAAGCAAUAACAACAAAAAAUAAUACAUAAAAUAAACAAACUUGAAUUGUGCUUGUUCGCGGUGCGUAUUUAACCGCUGCGGUCUGUGGUAACGUCGUGGCAAAACGUGCUCGCAUUAGCUUAAGCCACAAUUGGCAAUAGUCAUUCACAUACGCGCACAUAUGUAUGUGUGUAGGUUGCAUUGUUACUAACAUACGUUGACACGCCGCUUAAUCCAUUCAAGUCAUUUCGCGCGCCAAGACAUCCAGACAACUUGUCUUUCGCUGGCCGCAUCUUUCGUGUGACCGAAUGUUUGCUUGUAAUUUGCGGUCAAUGAAAUUGCCUCUUAGCUGCUUUGGCUUCAUGUCGCCCUUAGUGCCAUCGCUGCCGCUGAAUUGCUGCAAGUGUGGCGCGCAAGAAAUCAAGAUGUCAACGUUGGCGCAGCAGCGACACUCGAGCAUUAGUUGCUCAUCGGGUAAUCAGCCUCAAGUGCGUUGUGGUGGCAGUAAAAAAUGCCGCAGCGGGAUUAGCAAUUUUACUCAGUGCUUAAUUACUUGCGCAUUGCUGUUGCUCUUGGCUGCCGGAAAUGGUAAGUGGCAUUGCAUUUUUGUUUUAUCGAUUUGUAUUUGAAGGUUUACACGCACAUUUUUAUCGAUUUAUAGCAGCUUUGCUGACUAACAACUGCUAGUCUUAUUAAAAGACAAAUGUAACUCAAAACUGGCGAACAGUUCCAGAGUGAUUCAUUGAUGAAGUGGUUGAGAGGUUAAAGGUUAACGCCAGUCUAAGAUUUUGGUAAAAAUUAUUUUUUUUGGUUUCAAGCAUUUCCAGA
Molecule: long non-coding RNA, 2780 nt
Organism: Anastrepha ludens (Mexican fruit fly)
Lineage: Eukaryota; Metazoa; Arthropoda; Insecta; Diptera; Tephritidae
Exons: 3
Source: RefSeq, a predicted model, not a curated record